Molecule: ribosomal RNA, 496 nt
Filed under: uncultured bacterium
Lineage: Bacteria
Description: bacterial SSU rRNA
Rfam family: Bacterial small subunit ribosomal RNA
Source: RNAcentral
AGGACGAACGCGUGGCGGACGUGCCUAACACAUGCAAGUCGAGCGGAGUCGGUAAGAGGAAGUUUCGGAUGGAAUCUUAUGAUUAGCGGCGGACGGGUGAGUAACGCGUGAGCGACCAACCUUGCACAGGGGGAUAACGGACCGAAAGGUUCACUAAUACCGCAUGAGACCACGGUGUUGCAUGACACAGAGGUCAAAGGAGCAAUCCGGUGCAAGACGGGCUCGGCGUCCGAUUAGGUAGUUGGAGGGGUAACGGCCCACCAAGCCUAUGAUCGGUAGCCGACCUGAGAGGGUGAUCGGCCACAUUGGAACUGAGAUACGGUCCAAACUCCUACGGGAGGCAGCAGUGGGGAAUAUUGGGCAAUGGGGGAAACCCUUGACCCAGCAACGCCGCGUGAAGGAAGAAGGUUUUCGGAUUGUAAACUUCUGUCCUUGGUGAAGAGAAGAAGACGGUAGCCAAGGAGGAAGCCCCGGCUAACUACGUGCCAGCAGCUGC